GACGAACGCUGGCGGCGUGCCUAACACAUGCAAGUCGAACGGACAGGCCCUGCUUUUGUGGGGUGCUCGAGUGGCGAACGGGUGAGUAACACGUGAGUAUCCUGCCCUUGACUUUGGGAUAACUUCAGGAAAAUGGGGCUAAUACCGGAUAGGAGCUCUUGCUGCACGGUGGGGGUUGGAAAGUUUCGGCGGUAGGGGAUCGACUCGCGGCUUAUCAGCUUGUUGGUGGGGUAGUGGCUUACCAAGGUUUCGACGGGUAGCCGGCAUGGGAGGGUGGCCAGGGACAAUAGGACUGAGGGACGGCGCAGUAGGCAACGGGAGGCAGCGGUGGGAAGUAUGGCAGAGUGAGCGGGAGCGUGAUGCGGCAGCGCUGGGAGCGGGAUGACGGCCUACGGGUGGUAAACCGCUGUCGCCUGUGACGAAGUGUGAGUGACGGUAAUGGGUAAAGAAGCACCGGCUAACUACGUG
RNAcentral lists this ribosomal RNA (468 nucleotides) under uncultured bacterium. RNAcentral describes it as "partial 16S ribosomal RNA". It matches the Rfam family "Bacterial small subunit ribosomal RNA", at positions 28 to 507 of the family's 1533-position model. The record is from RNAcentral.